Molecule: ribosomal RNA, 525 nt
Filed under: Rhizobium sp.
Lineage: Bacteria; Pseudomonadati; Pseudomonadota; Alphaproteobacteria; Hyphomicrobiales; Rhizobiaceae
Description: bacterial SSU rRNA
Rfam family: Bacterial small subunit ribosomal RNA
Source: RNAcentral
GCCCUACGGGGGAAAGAUUUAUCGGGGAAGGAUUGGCCCGCGUUGGAUUAGCUAGUUGGUGGGGUAAAGGCCUACCAAGGCGACGAUCCAUAGCUGGUCUGAGAGGAUGAUCAGCCACAUUGGGACUGAGACACGGCCCAAACUCCUACGGGAGGCAGCAGUGGGGAAUAUUGGACAAUGGGCGCAAGCCUGAUCCAGCCAUGCCGCGUGAGUGAUGAAGGCCUUAGGGUUGUAAAGCUCUUUCACCGAUGAAGAUAAUGACGGUAGUCGGAGAAGAAGCCCCGGCUAACUUCGUGCCAGCAGCCGCGGUAAUACGAAGGGGGCUAGCGUUGUUCGGAAUUACUGGGCGUAAAGCGCACGUAGGCGGAUAUUUAAGUCAGGGGUGAAAUCCCGCAGCUCAACUGCGGAACUGCCUUUGAUACUGGGUAUCUUGAGUAUGGAAGAGGUAAGUGGAAUUCCGAGUGUAGAGGUGAAAUUCGUAGAUAUUCGGAGGAACACCAGUGGCGAAGGCGGCUUACUGGUCCA